RNAcentral lists this ribosomal RNA (775 nucleotides) under uncultured Actinomyces sp. Its description in RNAcentral is "bacterial SSU rRNA". The stretch from base 1 to 655 matches the Rfam family "Bacterial small subunit ribosomal RNA", at positions 28 to 873 of the family's 1533-position model. Lineage: Bacteria; Bacillati; Actinomycetota; Actinomycetes; Actinomycetales; Actinomycetaceae. The record is from RNAcentral.
AUUGAACGCUGGCGGCAUGCUUUACACAUGCAAGUCGAACGGCAGCGGGGUAGUGCUUGCACUACUGUCCGGCGAGUGGCGAACGGGUGAGUAAUAUAUCGGAACGUACCGAGUAAUGGGGGAUAACCAAUCGAAAGAUUGGCUAAUACCGCAUACGUCCUACGGGAGAAAGCGGGGGAUCGCAAGACCUCGCGUUAUUCGAGCGGCCGAUAACUGAUUAGCUAGUUGGUGGGGUAAAGGCCUACCAAGGCGACGAUCAGUAGCGGGUCUGAGAGGACGAUCCGCCACACUGGGACUGAGACACGGCCCAGACUCCUACGGGAGGCAGCAGUGGGGAAUUUUGGACAAUGGGGGCAACCCUGAUCCAGCCAUGCCGCGUGUAUGAAGAAGGCCUUCGGGUUGUUGAGUACUUUUGUUAGGGAAGAAAAGGGAAGUGCUAAUACCUCUUUUUGCUGACGGGACCUAAGGAAUAAGCACCGGCUAACUACGUGCCAGCAGCCGCGGUAAUACGUAGGGUGCGAGCGUUAAUCGUAAUUACUGGGCGUAAAGCGAGCGCUUACGGUUAUUUAUGCGGGAUGUGAAAUCCCCGGGGUUGACCGGGAACUGCGUGCUGAACUGGAUAGUUGUAGUGUGUCGUAGUGGGUUGAAUUGCACUUUGAUGGUUGUGUGCGAGAUGGUGGUGGGUGUCCUAUGGUGUGGUGUUCUCGUGUGGGUGUGUUUUGGGUUGUGUUGUGUGUUGUGUUGUGUGUGAGGUAUGUGUUACUGUGUGUGUUGG